RNAcentral lists this transfer RNA (68 nucleotides) under Marmota monax (woodchuck). Its description in RNAcentral is "tRNA.Ala". Lineage: Eukaryota; Metazoa; Chordata; Mammalia; Rodentia; Sciuridae. The record is from RNAcentral.
GGAUUGUGGCUCACUGGUAGAGCACUCACCUAGCAUGCUUGAGGCACUGGGUUCGAUCCUCAGCACCA